AAGACAUUCAGUCUUACUGUUAAUGAAACUGACAAACAUGAAAUCCAUCAACAUGAUGAAGAUGUUCAUACUUCUGAAGGAGGAGAAACAUGUCUGGUUUAUAUAGUUGUGAUCUCUUGUGCUGUUGGAUUUCUGAUGAUUGUAGCUUCACUUCUGAUGUUCUUCAUCUGCAGAAAACACACAAACACAC
Long non-coding RNA from Triplophysa rosa, 190 nucleotides. RefSeq lists it as uncharacterized. The record is from RefSeq and is a predicted model, not a curated record. Lineage: Eukaryota; Metazoa; Chordata; Actinopteri; Cypriniformes; Nemacheilidae. The transcript is spliced from 3 exons.